GUGAGGAAUAUUGGACAAUGGGCGCAAGCCUGAUCCAGCCAUGCCGCGUGCAGGAAGACGCAUCUAUGGUGUGUAAACUGCUUUUGUACGGGAAGAAACACUCCCUCGUGAGGGAGCUUGACGGUACCGUAAGAAUAAGGAUCGGCUAACUCCGUGCCAGCAGCCGCGGUAAUACGGAGGAUCCAAGCGUUAUCCGGAAUCAUUGGGUUUAAAGGGUCCGUAGGCGGUUUAAUAAGUCAGUGGUGAAAGCCCAUCGCUCAACGAUGGAACGGCCAUUGAUACUGUUAGACUUGAAUUACAAGGAAGUAACUAGAAGAUGUAGUGUAGCGGUGAAAUGCUUAGAUAUUACAUGGAAUACCAAUUGCGAAGGCAGGUUACUACUUGUGGAUUGACGCUGAUGUACGAAAGCGUGGGUAUCAAACAGGAUUAGAAACCCUAGUAGUCC
RNAcentral lists this ribosomal RNA (445 nucleotides) under uncultured bacterium. Its description in RNAcentral is "partial 16S ribosomal RNA". It matches the Rfam family "Bacterial small subunit ribosomal RNA", at positions 354 to 796 of the family's 1533-position model. The record is from RNAcentral.